RNAcentral lists this ribosomal RNA (436 nucleotides) under uncultured bacterium. RNAcentral describes it as "bacterial SSU rRNA". The stretch from base 1 to 360 matches the Rfam family "Bacterial small subunit ribosomal RNA", at positions 168 to 540 of the family's 1533-position model. The record is from RNAcentral.
GCCCGAAUUACCGCGGCGGCUGCGGCUGCAGGGGUCAAAGCCUUCGGGCGCUAGGAGAUCGGCUCGCGGCCCAUUAGGUAGUUGGCGGGGUAAUGGCCCACCAAGCCUGAGAUGGGUAGCUGGUCUGAGAGGAUGAUCAGCCACACUGGGACUGAGAUACGGCCCAGACUCCUACGGGAGGCAGCAGUGGGGAAUAUUGCGCAAUGGGCGAAAGCCUGACGCAGCAACGCCGCGUGUGUGAUGAAGGCUCUCGGGUCGUAAAGCACUGUCAGAAGGGAAGAAACAAAUGACGGUACCUUCAAAGGAAGCACCGGCUAACUUCCGUGCCAGCCGCCGCGGUAAUACGGGCUAGAGCGGCCGCCACGCGGUGGAGCUCCAGCUUUUGUUCCCUUUAGUGAGGGUUAAUUGCGCGCUUGGCGUAAUCAUGGUCAUAGCU